Molecule: ribosomal RNA, 422 nt
Filed under: uncultured bacterium
Lineage: Bacteria
Description: bacterial SSU rRNA
Rfam family: Bacterial small subunit ribosomal RNA
Source: RNAcentral
GCAUAACGCGAAGAACCUUACCCAGGCUUGACAUCCUUGGAAGGUCUCCGAAGGAGACUGUGCCUUGUGAGCCAAGUGACAGGUGUUGCAUGGCCGUCGUCAGCUCGUGUCGUGAGAUGUUUGGUUAAGUCCAUCAACGAGCGCAACCUUAUAGUUAGUGUAAUUUUCUAGCUAGACUCGACCCCGGUAACGGGGAGGAAGGAGGGGAUGAUGUCAGGUCAGUAUUACCCUUACGCCUGGGGCUAGAAACACGCUACAAUGGCCGGUACAAAGGGCUGCCAAGUCGCAAGACGGAGCAAAUCCCAUCAAAGCCGGUCCCAGUUCGGAUAGGAGGCUGAAACUCGCCUCCUUGAAGCCGGAAUCGCUAGUAACGGUGAGUCAGCACAUCACCGUGAAUACGUUCCCGGGUCUUGUACACACCG